GUGGGGAAUAUUGGACAAUGGGGGAAACCCUGAUCCAGCGACGCCGCGUGAGUGAAGAAGUAUUUCGGUAUGUAAAGCUCUAUCAGCAGGGAAGAAAAUGACGGUACCUGACUAAGAAGCCCCGGCUAACUACGUGCCAGCAGCCGCGGUAAUACGUAGGGGGCAAGCGUUAUCCGGAUUUACUGGGUGUAAAGGGAGCGUAGACGGCACUGCAAGUCUGGAGUGAAAGCCCGGGGCUCAACCCCGGGACUGCUUUGGAAACUGUGGUGCUGGAGUGCAGGAGAGGUAAGUGGAAUUCCUAGUGUAGCGGUGAAAUGCGUAGAUAUUAGGAGGAACACCAGUGGCGAAGGCGGCUUACUGGACUGUAACUGACGUUGAGGCUCGAAAGCGUGGGGAGCAAACAGGAUUAGAAACCCGUGUAGUCC
Molecule: ribosomal RNA, 425 nt
Filed under: uncultured bacterium
Lineage: Bacteria
Description: partial 16S ribosomal RNA
Rfam family: Bacterial small subunit ribosomal RNA
Source: RNAcentral